GGACGGGUGAGUAACACGUGGAUAACCUACCUAUAAGACUGGGAUAACUUCGGGAAACCGGAGCUAAUACCGGAUAAUAUUUUGAACCGCAUGGUUCAAAAGUGAAAGACGGUCUUGCUGUCACUUAUAGAUGGAUCCGCGCUGCAUUAGCUAGUUGGUAAGGUAACGGCUUACCAAGGCAACGAUGCAUAGCCGACCUGAGAGGGUGAUCGGCCACACUGGAACUGAGACACGGUCCAGACUCCUACGGGAGGCAGCAGUAGGGAAUCUUCCGCAAUGGGCGAAAGCCUGACGGAGCAACGCCGCGUGAGUGAUGAAGGUCUUCGGAUCGUAAAACUCUGUUAUUAGGGAAGAACAUAUGUGUAAGUAACUGUGCACAUCUUGACGGUACCUAAUCAGAAAGCCACGGCUAACUACGUGCCAGCAGCCGCGGUAAUACGUAGGUGGCAAGCGUUAUCCGGAAUUAUUGGGCGUAAAGCGCGCGUAGGCGGUUUUUUAAGUCUGAUGUGAAAGCCCACGGCUCAACCGUGGAGGGUCAUUGGAAACUGGAAAACUUGAGUGCAGAAGAGGAAAGUGGAAUUCCAUGUGUAGCGGUGAAAUGCGCAGAGAUAUGGAGGAACACCAGUGGCGAAGGCGACUUUCUGGUCUGUAACUGACGCUGAUGUGCGAAAGCGUGGGGAUCAAACAGGAUUAGAUACCCUGGUAGUCCACGCCGUAAACGAUGAGUGCUAAGUGUUAGGGGGUUUCCGCCCCUUAGUGCUGCAGCUAACGCAUUAAGCACUCCGCCUGGGGAGUACGACCGCAAGGUUG
This 810-nucleotide ribosomal RNA is filed under the name uncultured Staphylococcus sp. Its description in RNAcentral is "bacterial SSU rRNA". It matches the Rfam family "Bacterial small subunit ribosomal RNA", at positions 100 to 896 of the family's 1533-position model. The record is from RNAcentral. Lineage: Bacteria; Bacillati; Bacillota; Bacilli; Caryophanales; Staphylococcaceae.